RNAcentral lists this ribosomal RNA (321 nucleotides) under uncultured eukaryote. RNAcentral's name for it is "partial 18S ribosomal RNA". It matches the Rfam family "Eukaryotic small subunit ribosomal RNA", at positions 1470 to 1796 of the family's 1831-position model. The record is from RNAcentral.
CCCUUAGAUGUUCUGGGCCGCACGCGUGCUACACUGAGUGGAUCAGCGGGUCAGGUUGCGCGAAAGCGUUUCCUAAUCUUUAAAUCCGCUCGUGAUGGGGAUUGACGGUUGCAAUUUUCUGUCAUGAACGAGGAAUACCUUGUAAGCGCGGGUCAUCAUCCCGCGCUGAAUACGUCCCUGCCCUUUGUACACACCGCCCGUCGCUCCUACCGAUUGAGUGGUCCGGUGAGGCUUUGGGAUCUGAGCGGAAAGAGCGUUUCGCUGUUUCUGCUCGGAAAACUCAGUCGAACCUAUCAUUUAGAGGAAGGAGAAGUCGUAACA